AAGAGGGAUAGAGACACGCUAGGGAGGGAGAAGAGAAGAAAAACCCUACCAUUAUUCAUCUUCUUCUUUUGAUUAUAUCUUGUGAUUUGGAGUUCCGAUUGGUGUGCCGUUUGCGGCUAUGCAUUCAUAUCGCUAAGCUCUUCAAUUCUAUUUAAACAAAGUGAUGUAAUAUAGUUUGGGCGAUUAGUGGACUUUAUCCCAAGUUUUAGUGAAUAAGAUACAAAUCGCAACCCACUUCGGUGAGUUUUGCGAAUGUGGUGACAGAGCAGAAGAUGGCUCUAUGUUUUGCUUUUGUUUUACUUCUUGUAGUUAUCUGUCUCUUUUGUAUAUAGCCUUAGAGGCUUUUAUUCUAUAAAUUUGAGAGAUAGGAUGUUAGCUAUUUUAACUUAAAAAUUCUGUUGUAUCUUUUGUUGAAAACUAGUCAGUCUAAACUCCGCGAGUUAUGACUAGUUCCUUUUUGGAUAUUGUGUGUGUGUGUGUGUAUAUAUAUAUAUAUAUAUCAUUUGUUUACUCUA
This is a long non-coding RNA of Arachis stenosperma, 515 nucleotides long. RefSeq lists it as uncharacterized. NCBI's taxonomy places the organism in Eukaryota, Viridiplantae, Streptophyta, Magnoliopsida, Fabales, Fabaceae. The record is from RefSeq and is a predicted model, not a curated record. The transcript is spliced from 3 exons.